UUUAGAAUAAUGAUAAAAACUUUUGAGAGUUUGCAUAUUAGUAGAGGAAGGAGGAAGACAAAGUUCAACCUUUAAAGAAAUUUUGUUGGUAUUUUAACAUGCUUAGGAAUGAAAAUUCUACCAUAAGAUGAUAUCGAAAGUCAACAUUUUCAUAUUUUGUUAACAUUGGAGAAUUUGUUGAAGAAGGCAUUGAAAUCGGCAAAAUUAGUUGAAAAAGGAAUUCAAAUGGGAAAAAUUAACAAGACCCUAAGACUGGAUAGAUCUUCAGGACUCAGUAAAAAGAAGAUACAAGAUAAAAUAAAGUAUCCUUCAAUCCUAAUGCCAACUCUAAAAUUAGAAGGACUCCAUAUCUAUCCAUUUACUCUUUACCUCCACAGAACCCCAAACCUAUCUUCUACACCAAACCUAAUACCAAUCACCACAAAUAUAACAACCUAUUUUUGGUUAUUUUUUUUGAAAUAUUAAUUUCUAUGUUAUUGACUAUUUUACCUCUACAAGUUGUUACUUUUUGGUAUUAUUAGGGUUUGUGGAUAUGUGGCAGUAUUCUCGAUGAAUUUUCAUGUGAAAAAUGUGAAAUUAUGGUUUUU
RNAcentral lists this long non-coding RNA (587 nucleotides) under Capsicum annuum. RNAcentral's name for it is "long non-coding RNA (CANN_LNC012653)". The record is from RNAcentral. Lineage: Eukaryota; Viridiplantae; Streptophyta; Magnoliopsida; Solanales; Solanaceae.